Molecule: ribosomal RNA, 459 nt
Filed under: uncultured bacterium
Lineage: Bacteria
Description: partial 16S ribosomal RNA
Rfam family: Bacterial small subunit ribosomal RNA
Source: RNAcentral
CCUACGGGAGGCAGCAGUGAGGAAUAUUGGUCAAUGGGCGGGAGCCUGAACCAGCCAAGCCGCGUGAGGGAAGAAGGUACAGCGUAUCGUAAACCUCUUUUGUCAGGGAACAAAGGCGGGGACUAGUCCCCGGAUGAGGGUACCUGAAGAAAAAGCAUCGGCUAACUCCGUGCCAGCAGCCGCGGUAAUACGGCGGAUGCGAGCGUUAUCCGGAUUUAUUGGGUUGAAAGGGUGCGCAGGCGGCCUGUUAAGUCAGCGGGAAAAGCCCGGGGCUCAACCCCGGCGAGCCGUUGAAACUGGCGGGCUGGAGUUGGAGAGAAGUACGCGGAAUGCGCGGUGUAGCGGUGAAAUGCUUAGAUAUCGCGCAGAACCCCGAUUGCGAAGGCAGCGUACCGGCUCCACACUGACGCUGAGGCACGAAAGCGUGGGUAUCGAACAGGAUUAGAUACCCGGGUAGUC